RNAcentral lists this ribosomal RNA (497 nucleotides) under uncultured bacterium. Its description in RNAcentral is "partial 16S ribosomal RNA". It matches the Rfam family "Bacterial small subunit ribosomal RNA", at positions 28 to 507 of the family's 1533-position model. The record is from RNAcentral.
GAUGAACGCUGGCGGCGUGCCUAAUACAUGCAAGUCGAGCGAACAGAUAAGGAGCUUGCUCCUUUGACGUUAGCGGCGGACGGGUGAGUAACACGUGGGUAACCUACCUAUAAGACUGGGAUAACUUCGGGAAACCGGAGCUAAUACCGGAUAAUAUUUCGAACCGCAUGGUUCGAUAGUGAAAGAUGGUUUUGCUAUCACUUAUAGAUGGACCCGCGCCGUAUUAGCUAGUUGGUAAGGUAACGGCUUACCAAGGCGACGAUACGUAGCCGACCUGAGAGGGUGAUCGGCCACACUGGAACUGAGACACGGUCCAGACUCCUACGGGAGGCAGCAGUAGGGAAUCUUCCGCAAUGGGCGAAAGCCUGACGGAGCAACGCCGCGUGAGUGAUGAAGGUCUUCGGAUCGUAAAACUCUGUUAUUAGGGAAGAACAUACGUGUAAGUAACUGUGCACGUCUUGACGGUACCCAAUCAGAAAGCCACGGCUAACUACGUG